GAGUUUGAUCAUGGCUCAGAACGAACGCUGGCGGCAGGCUUAACACAUGCAAGUCGAACGCGUGUAGCAAUACACGAGUGGCGCACGGGUGAGUAACGCGUGGAUAUCUGCCUUUUGGUUCGGAAUAACCCCGGGAAACUGGGGCUAAUACCGGAUGGUUCCUACGGGAUAAAGAUUUAUCGCCAAAAGAUGAGUCCGCGUACGAUUAGCUAGUUGGUGAGGUAAUGGCUCACCAAGGCGACGAUCGUUAGCUGGUCUGAGAGGACGGUCAGCCACACUGGGACUGAGACACGGCCCAGACUCCUACGGGAGGCAGCAGUGGGGAAUAUUGGACAAUGGGGGCAACCCUGAUCCAGCCAUGCCGCGUGAGUGAUGAAGGCC
This 381-nucleotide ribosomal RNA is filed under the name uncultured Alphaproteobacteria bacterium. Its description in RNAcentral is "bacterial SSU rRNA". It matches the Rfam family "Bacterial small subunit ribosomal RNA", at positions 9 to 416 of the family's 1533-position model. Lineage: Bacteria; Pseudomonadati; Pseudomonadota; Alphaproteobacteria. The record is from RNAcentral.